Molecule: ribosomal RNA, 395 nt
Filed under: uncultured bacterium
Lineage: Bacteria
Description: partial 16S ribosomal RNA
Rfam family: Bacterial small subunit ribosomal RNA
Source: RNAcentral
CCUACGGGCGGCUGCAGUGAGGAAUAUUUGUCAAUGGGCGCGAGCCUGAACCAGCCAAGUAGCGUGAAGGAUGACUGCCCUCCGGUUUGUAAGCUUCUUUUAUAAAGGAGUAAAGUGAGGCCCGUGUGCCUUUUUGUAUGUACUUUAUGAUUCAGGCUCGGCUAACUCCGUGCCAGCAGCCGCGGUAAUCCGGAGGAUCCGAGCGUUAUCCGGAUUUAUUGGGUGUAAAGGGAGCGUAGGGGGGUUGUUAAGUCAGUUGUGAAAGGUUGCGGCUCAACCGUAAAAUUGCAAUUGAUACUGGCAGGCUUGAGUACAGUUGAGGUAGGCGGAAUUCGUGGUGUAGCGGUGAAAUGCUUAGAUAUCACGAAGAACUCCGAUUGCGAAGGCAGCCUACU